This 904-nucleotide ribosomal RNA is filed under the name Bartalinia robillardoides. RNAcentral describes it as "eukaryotic LSU rRNA". It matches the Rfam family "Eukaryotic large subunit ribosomal RNA", at positions 1 to 929 of the family's 3401-position model. The record is from RNAcentral. Lineage: Eukaryota; Fungi; Ascomycota; Sordariomycetes; Amphisphaeriales; Sporocadaceae.
GUUGACCUCGGAUCACGUAGGAAUACCCGCUGAACUUAAGCAUAUCAAUAAGCGGAGGAAAAGAAACCAACAGGGAUUGCCUUAGUAACGGCGAGUGAAGCGGCAAUAGCUCAAAUUUGAAAUCUGGCGCUUGCGUCCGAGUUGUAAUUUGUAGAGGAUGAUUUUGGUUAGGUACCUUUCGAGUUCCUUGGAACAGGACGCCUUAGAGGGUGAGAGCCCCGUACGAUUGGAUGCCGAGCCUCUGUAAAUCUCCUUCGACGAGUCGAGUAGUUUGGGAAUGCUGCUCUAAAUGGGAGGUAAAUUUCUUCUAAAGCUAAAUACCGGCCAGAGACCGAUAGCGCACAAGUAGAGUGAUCGAAAGAUGAAAAGCACUUUGAAAAGAGGGUUAAAUAGCACGUGAAAUUGUUGAAAGGGAAGGAUUUAUGACCAGACUUUUUCUAGGAGAAUCAUCCGGUGUUCUCACCGGUGCACUUCUUUUAGUUUAGGCCAGCAUCGACUUUCGGCGGUGGAUAAAAGCUUUAGGAAUGUGGCUUCCCUCGGGAAGUGUUAUAGCCUAUUGUAUAAUACACUGCUGGGGGUCGAGGUACGCGCUUCUGCAAGGAUGCUGGCGUAAUGGUUAUCAAUCACCCGUCUUGAAACACGGACCAAGGAGUCGAACAUUUGUGCGAGUGUUUGGGUGUUAAACCCUCACGCGUAAUGAAAGUGAACGGAGGUGAGAGCCCUUACGGGUGCAUCAUCGACCGAUCCUGAUGUUUUCGGAUGGAUUUGAGUAAGAGCAUAAUGUUCGGACCCGAAAGAUGGUGAACUAUGCGUGGAUAGGGUGAAGCCAGAGGAAACUCUGGUGGAGGCUCGCAGCGGUUCUGACGUGCAAAUCGAUCGUCAAAUCUGCGCAUGGGGGCGAAAG